GUGGGGAAUCUUGCGCAAUGGGCGAAAGCCUGACGCAGCUAUGCCGCGUGAAUGAUGAAGGUCUUAGGAUUGUAAAAUUCUUUCACCGGGGACGAUAAUGACGGUACCCGGAGAAGAAGCUCCGGCUAACUUCGUGCCAGCAGCCGCGGUAAUACGAAGGGGGCUAGCGUUGCUCGGAAUUACUGGGCGUAAAGGGCGCGUAGGCGGACAGCUUAGUCAGAGGUGAAAGCCCAGGGCUCAACCUUGGAAUUGCCUUUGAUACUGGCUGUCUUGAGUUUGGGAGAGGUGAGGGGAACUCCGAGUGUAGAGGUGAAAUUCGUAGAUAUUCGGAAGAACACCAGUGGCGAAGGCGACUCACUGGCCCAAUACUGACGCUGAGGCGCGAAAGCGUGGGGAGCAAACAGGAUUAGAAACCCGUGUAGUCC
This 425-nucleotide ribosomal RNA is filed under the name uncultured bacterium. RNAcentral describes it as "partial 16S ribosomal RNA". It matches the Rfam family "Bacterial small subunit ribosomal RNA", at positions 354 to 796 of the family's 1533-position model. The record is from RNAcentral.